UUGACAGGAAUCGAAUCUAGGACCCCUCAAUCCGCAGGCAGACACUCUAUCCACUGAGCCAAACCGGCUAGGGCUAUUUGGUAGUUUCUCAUUAUCGGGAGAAAAUGAAAAUAUUUUAGAAUUCCUCCAAUGUACCUCUGGAUUUAACAGUCUACUUCGUAGAGACAACCCAGGCUCAAAUACCAUGUUCACAUACUGGACCAAUACCACAUGCUAACAAAUUAUUGUUCUCAAACGACUUCACAGUGAAAGUAGAAACAGACCCUCGACUGAAUAGUUUCUCUUUCCUGCAAUGUUCCUCAAUUGGGUGGCACUUCACCUAGUCGAGCGGAAUUCUGCUGUUUAAACACCUGCCCCAUCUGGAACAACAACCAACAAAAAAAAUCCAAAAAGAUCCUUGAGAACACAAACUAGGUACCACCAAACCUACUCUUUAGUUCCUGCCCCAAACAACAGAGCACAGCCCAACAAGUCUCUGCUUUCUCUCGGAGCCCAUUGGCUCCUCCGCUUCAUGACUUUUUCCAGCUGAUUCCAUGUUUAGAAGCUGGAGGGAAGGGAAGGGAAACUGGACAACAUCUACAAAAAGCGAAUAAAUGCGGGUGUCACGGCUGGGGAGCACCGUAACCUCUGAAUCUCCUCCAAGUAAGAUUUUUGUCUAAGUAAAUUCUGUACUUUGUGUUUAAAAA
This is a long non-coding RNA of Myotis lucifugus (little brown bat), 686 nucleotides long. RefSeq lists it as uncharacterized. The record is from RefSeq and is a predicted model, not a curated record. The transcript has 2 exons. NCBI's taxonomy places the organism in Eukaryota, Metazoa, Chordata, Mammalia, Chiroptera, Vespertilionidae.